GAUGAACGCUGGCGGCGUGCCUAAUACAUGCAAGUCGAGCGAACAGACGAGGUGCUUGUUCCUCUUACGUUAGCGGCGGACGGGUGAGUAACACGUGGAUAACCUACCUAUAAGACUGGGAUAACUUCUGGAAACCGGUGCUAAUACCGGAUAAUAUAUUUAACCGCAUGGUUCAAUAGUGAAAGACGGUUUUGCUUUCACUUAUAGAUGGAUCCGCUCCGCAUUAGCUAGUGGGUAAGGUAACGGCUUACCAAGGCAACGAUGCGUAGCCGACCUGAGAGGGUGAUCGGCCACACUGGAACUGAGAAACGGUCAAGACUCCUACGGGAGGCAGCAGUAGGGAAUCUUCCGAAAUGGGCGAAAGCUUGACGGAGCAACGCCGCGUGAGGGAGGAAGGUCUUCGGAUCGAAAAACUCUGUUAUUAGGGAAGAACAAAUGUGUAAGUAACUAUGCACGAAUUGACGGUACCUAAUCAGAAAGCCACGGCUAACUACGUG
This 497-nucleotide ribosomal RNA is filed under the name uncultured bacterium. Its description in RNAcentral is "partial 16S ribosomal RNA". It matches the Rfam family "Bacterial small subunit ribosomal RNA", at positions 28 to 507 of the family's 1533-position model. The record is from RNAcentral.